AACAAUACAUUACUUUAGAAAUACAUGUACAUAUGAUAAGAUUAUUAAAAAGAAAGACCAGGAACCCUAAUAAUACAAUUCAGCAUAGCAGUUAUUUCUAGGGCAGACAAGGAAAUGAAAUGGUGAAUAGUCACAGUUGGCUUCAAUGUUUUGGUAAUAUCCUAGUAAUACGGGCAGAAGGCAGGGAAAUACUGUGUAGGAGAGGGCAGUUCCCAAGCCAUGGCCCCAUCCACAGGCCUGGGCCCAUGGCCCUAAAUGAGAACUUCACAUCCCUGUUUUCCCACUUGAGUGUUUUUUUUUUCAAAAACCACUCUGACCCACAACACCCCCUGCCUGUACCUAUAAAAACCCCAAAUUCCACUGGCAGAGGAGUGGAGUUGCAUGGCCGAGAAUGAGAGAAAAGAAGAGGCAGCUGGAAGGUUGGAAAUGGGGGAGGUUAUCUUCCCACUCCAUCCCCUUUCCAGUUUCCCAUCCCACUGAGGGCCACCUCCACCACUCAGUAAAACCGCUGCAUUCACCAUCCUCGAAGUCUAUAUGACCUGAUACUUCCCAGAUGCUGGACAAGAACCUAGGUACCAAGAGGGCAAGGUGUAAAAGGCUUUCACCCUGACUCUCCACUGAGCUACUUAACACUUAGACAUCUUGGAUGGCAACUGCUAAAAGAGCAUUAAUCAUAACACACCCCUAGAUGCUGCCAUGGGGCGAGAGCCCAAAGGCACUCACCCUGGCCCAGGCACCUGUUUGCCUGUGUGCUCCCCCUCCCACAAGGGGUUUGAGCACCCGGCCAGGUAAUCGAGCCACACCUCUGUCACAAGUCCUAUGAAGGGUCCAGGCAACUCUGCUAUCUCACUAGGUUUUAAGUACAGUUGUGGAUCCCACAAUCUUAAUGACUAAACUUACAACUUACAUAUGCGCUACAUGUAUUCGUUUAGUUGUAUCAAUAUUUACAUAAUUUUAAAACCUUGGUUGUACAAUAAUAAGGAUACAAAAAGGGUUAGGAGCCCUGGAAAUUGUUGGCAAAUAGGACUUUACAUUUUAAAAUAAAUGUAUUAAGAUGAAAAAUUUUUUUAAAUACACAUCUUUAAUGCAUCAUGCCAAUACUUCCUCUUAUUCAACAGUUCUUUGUUGUUACGUUUUCAGCCACCUCAAUUAAAUUUCAUAGAAAUUAAACACUGGGAGAUGAAGAAAGGGAUUUGGUUAUGUUUACUCUUCCAAAGCAAUCUGUCCUUUCACUAAAUACAUCUAUCUUGAAAACAUUUAAAUAGCCAAUUAUCAAACAAAUAAAAUAAUGACAAAUUACUAGUGGGCCCCCCCCCAAAAAACUAAAUUGAGUAUUCCAAAAGUAAUAUAUCUCCAAUAUGUAUAUUUAUAAAUUACAUAAUUUACAUACUAUGGUUUUGUAUAUGAGUAUAUAUCUCCAAUAUGUGUAUUUAUAAAUUACAUAAUGUACACACUAUGGUUUUUAUAUAUUAUAGACAUUUGAACCAUUUCAAAUUUAUAGGGAAUUUAACUUUAAAAACAUAUCUAAGUAGAAGUUAUAAUGUGUUCUUCCCAUACCCUAGUGGAAGGUUGUGUGCACCUCACGAGGCUCACACCCUUCACUUUGGAGAUUACCACUCCAAUUCACAAGAAUUGCAUUAAGAAGCAAGUAGCCCAAACUUGCUUAAAGGACUUGCUAUUAAUAUUCUGUUUGUAAAUCCACAUUGUUCAGUUAUCUAUUCAAUCUAUUUCUAUUAUUCUGAAGAAAUUAAUAUCUGUCUGAUUUAAAGUAGAUAACACCCAAUUCCUUCAACAACUCUGUUUACAAAUAGUGUAAAUGAGGAUUAAAGGCACCAUCUUAAGGUUUUACUUAUGUUCCAGGAACUCAACGAAAAAACAAACAAAAGACCAAAAAAAAUCACUUUUGUGAUACUGGUAAUUGAUUUUUUUAGCUUUCCAAGUAGAUAAAAUCAACACCUUAAAAGACUUGUCUUUAACCCGGGCUUUCUUUUAUUAAAGUGUACAAUUGCAGGCGCAUGCCUAGAGGAGUAAUAGCUGGCUCCUAACAAAAGAGCCUGGAUUCCACAAUAUGCCUUUUGCCAGAGGCAUCGUUCCCCAAAGCAUACAGCUAACUGCAUCUCCUGCUGUACCUGUAACAAUUUAAUUGUAUAAGUCAGCCUAGUCAAGCAUCUCCAGCUCGUGACUGGGAGACAUGAAAUUCAUUGUCAUUAUUGUCCCUGUCAUUUUGGAUCAUUAUAUCCGGCUGCAGAAUUUUCCUCACUUCAGUGCAUUUUUACCUCCAGGAGCCAGGGAUUAUAGCUGAGGUUGGGGUGGGGGCAGGACUGUGAACUACAUUUACCUCAGGGGAGCCAGAGAUUAAAUUGGCUUUGCUCUCUCACGAGCUGAAUUCAUCUAUUUGUAUGCUGUGAGUUUUAGGUUGGAAUAAAAAUGAAUAUUCUAGUGAAACCUGGGCUUUAAUUCCCCCUUUGAAACAUGGAUGUAACCAACUUUUAUUUACAUUAGGAAAAGGCAAUAUAAUUUCUUAUAGUUGCUCUUUUCAUAUGUGCAUAAGGAAUGCUUAGAAGCAUCAUCGGAUAUGAAACGACAGACAUCUCUGUCAAUGUCUUGACUCUCAGAAAGGAGAAAUUUAAAGCUGUAAUUUUGUUCUUCAGUUUUAUUUUACAAUGGCUUAAUGGAGGUAUUUAAUGGUUUUUAAUAUUUAAUGAUUUUUAAUUAUAGCUCAUUUUCUGUGUACUAGAUUGGAUGACUGGAGUCUAACUAGAAUAGCCACAAAGAUCCACUAUGGGAACAAAUAGAGGGGAAAAAAAAUAAGUCCCUGAGAAAACUGGCUACCCCUAACAGCUGGUUCACAUCAUCUCACAGCCUGUCAAGUCACCCAAGCAUACCAUGCCUUAAACACUUUCUUCUAACUUGAGAAAGUUGGCCUGGUCACCAUCCUCUCUACCUGGUAACUCCCUUAUCAGCAGUAACGGCCAGCUGUGGGUUUCUACUAGGCAAGUUCGAAAAUACUAGGACAUGUCUCAGUCAGAAAACCAGUGAGUUGACUAUAUGAUUACUCUAAUAGACUAUAAGAAGGAAAUACAACUGCAGGAAAAACUGGUAUGUCAUUUACUAUCCCAACUUUCAUUUCAUACGGAUUUCACUGAGAAGUUUGAGAUUCUGUCUGCAUUU
Molecule: long non-coding RNA, 3171 nt
Organism: Cercocebus atys (sooty mangabey)
Lineage: Eukaryota; Metazoa; Chordata; Mammalia; Primates; Cercopithecidae
Exons: 2
Source: RefSeq, a predicted model, not a curated record